RNAcentral lists this transfer RNA (72 nucleotides) under Pangasianodon gigas (Mekong giant catfish). RNAcentral describes it as "tRNA-Glu". It matches the Rfam family "tRNA". From Rfam's summary of the family: Transfer RNA (tRNA) molecules are approximately 80 nucleotides in length. Their secondary structure includes four short double-helical elements and three loops (D, anti-codon, and T loops). Lineage: Eukaryota; Metazoa; Chordata; Actinopteri; Siluriformes; Pangasiidae. The record is from RNAcentral.
UCCCUGGAGGACUAGUGGUUAGGCCACAGCACUCUCACUGCUCUGGCCUGGGUUUGAUUCCAAGCCAGGGAA